UUUCCGUAGGGGGGACCUGCGGAGGGAUCAUUA
This 33-nucleotide ribosomal RNA is filed under the name Colletotrichum spaethianum. Its description in RNAcentral is "partial 18S ribosomal RNA". Lineage: Eukaryota; Fungi; Ascomycota; Sordariomycetes; Glomerellales; Glomerellaceae. The record is from RNAcentral.